Mycena galericulata is the source of this 98-nucleotide non-coding RNA. The record is from the annotation of a GenBank genome assembly. Lineage: Eukaryota; Fungi; Basidiomycota; Agaricomycetes; Agaricales; Mycenaceae.
GUCUUCGUGGAGUAAUCUGGAAACUCACUCCUCACAUGUAAGGAUUGCAUUGUGAAAGUUGCACGGGAGAGUUGGCGGUUCAAGCCCGCCCGAAGGCA